This 64-nucleotide transfer RNA is filed under the name Rubneribacter badeniensis. It matches the Rfam family "tRNA", at positions 5 to 66 of the family's 71-position model. Rfam says of the family: Transfer RNA (tRNA) molecules are approximately 80 nucleotides in length. Their secondary structure includes four short double-helical elements and three loops (D, anti-codon, and T loops). The record is from RNAcentral. Lineage: Bacteria; Bacillati; Actinomycetota; Coriobacteriia; Eggerthellales; Eggerthellaceae.
GCGUGGCGCAACGGUAGCGCAUCGGUUUUGUAAACCGCGGGUUGCAGGUUCGAAUCCUGUCGCU